RNAcentral lists this ribosomal RNA (446 nucleotides) under uncultured bacterium. Its description in RNAcentral is "partial 16S ribosomal RNA". It matches the Rfam family "Bacterial small subunit ribosomal RNA", at positions 338 to 795 of the family's 1533-position model. The record is from RNAcentral.
CCUACGGGUGGCAGCAGUCGAGAAUCAUUCACAAUGGGGGAAACCCUGAUGGUGCGACGCCGCGUGGGGGAAUGAAGGUCUUCGGAUUGUAAACCCCUGUCAUGUGGGAGCAAAUUAAAAAGAUAGUACCACAAGAGGAAGAGACGGCUAACUCUGUUCCAGCAGCCGCGGUAAUACAGAGGUCUCAAGCGUUGUUCGGAAUCACUGGGCGUAAAGCGUGCGUAGACUGUUUCGUAAGUCUUGUGUGAAAGGGGCGGGCUCAACCCGCGGACGGCACAUGUUACUGCGAGACUAGAGUAAUGGAGGGGGAACCGGAAUUCGCGGUGUAGCAGUGAAAUGCGUAGAUAUCGAGAGGAACACUCGUGGCGAAGGCGGGUUCCUGGACAUUAACUGACGCUGAGGCACGAAGGCCAGGGGAGCGAAAGGGAUUAGAUACCCGAGUAGUC